UUCCGGGGUAAUUAGAGCCGUCAUUGAGAGACCACUCUGGAAGAGCUAGAAUCCUAAUGGGGAUCCUUGAAUCAGGACCCUUGACAGUUUCAGGUGGGCAGUUUAUUUGGGGCGAAUGCCUCCUAAAAGGUAACGGAGGCGUGCAAAGGUUCCCUCAGUCUGGACGGAAAUCAGACAUUGAGUGUAAAGGCAAAAGGGAGCUUGACUGCAAGACCUACAAGUCGAGCAGGGGCGAAAGCCGGCCUUAGUGAUCCGACGGUGCCGCGUGGAAGGGCCGUCGCUCAACGGAUAAAAGUUACUCUAGGGAUAACAGGCUGAUCUUCCCCAAGACUUCACAUCGACGGGAAGGUAUGGCACCUCGAUGUCGGCUCAUCACAUCCUCGGUCUGUAGUAGGUCCGAAGGGUUGGG
RNAcentral lists this ribosomal RNA (409 nucleotides) under Chlamydomonas reinhardtii. RNAcentral's name for it is "bacterial LSU rRNA". It matches the Rfam family "Bacterial large subunit ribosomal RNA", at positions 2169 to 2576 of the family's 2925-position model. Lineage: Eukaryota; Viridiplantae; Chlorophyta; Chlorophyceae; Chlamydomonadales; Chlamydomonadaceae. The record is from RNAcentral.